AAUUUUUGACAAUGGGGGUAACCCUGAUCCAGCCAUCCCGCGUGUAUGAUGAAGGCCUUCGGGAUGUAAAGUACUUUUGGCAGAGAAGAAAAGGUAUCUCCUAAUACGAGAUACUGCUGACGGUAUCUGCAGAAUAAGCACCGGCCAACUACGUGCCUGCAACCGCGGUAAUACGUUGGGUGCAAGCGUUAACCGGAAUUACUGGGCGUAAAGCGUGUGUAGGCGGUGCGGGAAGAAAGAUGUGAAAUCCCAGGGCUCAACCUUGGAACUGCAUUUUUAACUGCCGAGCUAGAGUAUGUCAGAGGGGGGUAGAAUUCCACGUGUAGCAGUGAAAUGCGUAGAUAUGUGGAGGAAUACCGAUGGCGAAGGCAGCCCCCUGGGAUAAUACUGACGCUCAGACACGAAAGCGUGGGGAGCAAACAG
RNAcentral lists this ribosomal RNA (423 nucleotides) under uncultured bacterium. Its description in RNAcentral is "partial 16S ribosomal RNA". It matches the Rfam family "Bacterial small subunit ribosomal RNA", at positions 360 to 775 of the family's 1533-position model. The record is from RNAcentral.